AGCGAACGCUGGCGGCAGGCCUAACACAUGCAAGUCGAGCGCCCGGAGCAAUCCGGGAGCGGCAGACGGGAGAGUAACACGUGGGAACGUACCCUUCAGUUCGGAACAACCCAGGGAAACUUGGGCUAAGACCGGAUACGCCCUUUUGGGGAAAGAUUUAUCGCUGAGAGAUCGGCCCGCGUCUGAUUAGCUAGUUGGUGAGGUAAAGGCUCACCAAGGCGACGAUCAGUAGCUGGUCUGAGAGGAUGAUCAGCCACAUUGGGACUGAGACACGGCCCAAACUCCUACGGGAGGCAGCAGUGGGGAAUAUUGGACAAUGGGCGCAAGCCUGAUCCAGCCAUGCCGCGUGAGUGAUGAAGGCCUUAGGGUUGU
RNAcentral lists this ribosomal RNA (372 nucleotides) under uncultured bacterium. RNAcentral's name for it is "bacterial SSU rRNA". It matches the Rfam family "Bacterial small subunit ribosomal RNA", at positions 29 to 426 of the family's 1533-position model. The record is from RNAcentral.